UUUUUUUUUGGAGGUUAUGUUUGAUAUCAUCACCCGGGAAGAAGUAAGUGUAUCCCUUAAAACAUAACUGAAAUUCUUAUAGAAUCGCGUUAGCACGUGUUAAAUUUUUACAGAAUAUAACGAUUUCGAAUAUGAAAUUUAGAAGUGCUCGUGUUCAUUGAUUUCGAUCGAUUAUUUUUACACAUUUUUCUCUCAGUUUGAAC
Non-coding RNA from Cinara cedri, 203 nucleotides. The record is from the annotation of a GenBank genome assembly. Lineage: Eukaryota; Metazoa; Arthropoda; Insecta; Hemiptera; Aphididae.